RNAcentral lists this ribosomal RNA (459 nucleotides) under uncultured bacterium. RNAcentral describes it as "partial 16S ribosomal RNA". It matches the Rfam family "Bacterial small subunit ribosomal RNA", at positions 338 to 795 of the family's 1533-position model. The record is from RNAcentral.
CCUACGGGCGGCAGCAGUGAGGAAUAUUGGUCAAUGGCCGAGAGGCUGAACCAGCCAAGUCGCGUGAGGGAAGACGGCCCUACGGGUUGUAAACCUCUUUUGUCGGGGAGCAAAGCGAGUCACGUGUGACUCAUUGAGAGUACCCGAAGAAAAAGCAUCGGCUAACUCCGUGCCAGCAGCCGCGGUAAUACGGAGGAUGCGAGCGUUAUCCGGAUUUAUUGGGUUGAAAGGGAGCGCAGGCGGAGGUGCAAGUCAGCGGUCAAAUUGCGGGGCUCAACCCCGUACUGCCGUUGAAACUGCAUGCCUUGAGUGCGCGAGAGGUAUGCGGAAUGCGUGGUGUAGCGGUGAAAUGCAUAGAUAUCACGCAGAACUCCGGUUGCGAAGGCAGCAUACCGGCGCGCAACUGACGCUCAUGCACGAAAGCGUGGGUAUCGAACAGGAUUAGAUACCCUUGUAGUC